AAUGAACGCUGGCGGCAUGCCUUACACAUGCAAGUCGAACGGCAGUAUGACCUAGCUUGCUAGGUUGAUGGCGAGUGGCGAACGGGUGAGUAAUGCAUCGGAACGUGCCUUUUAGUGGGGGAUAACGUAGCGAAAGUUACGCUAAUACCGCAUAUUCUCUGAGGAGGAAAGCAGGGGACCUUCGGGCCUUGCGCUAGAAGAGCGGCCGAUGUCGGAUUAGCUAGUUGGUGAGGUAAAGGCUCACCAAGGCAACGAUCCGUAGCGGGUCUGAGAGGAUGAUCCGCCACACUGGGACUGAGACACGGCCCAGACUCCUACGGGAGGCAGCAGUGGGGAAUUUUGGACAAUGGGCGCAAGCCUGAUCCAGCCAUGCCGCGUGAGUGAAGAAGGCCUUCGGGUUGUAAAGCUCUUUCGGCUGGGAAGAAAUCGCACCCUCUAAUACAGGGUGUGGAUGACGGUACCAGCAUAAGAAGCACCGGCUAACUACGUG
Molecule: ribosomal RNA, 490 nt
Filed under: uncultured bacterium
Lineage: Bacteria
Description: partial 16S ribosomal RNA
Rfam family: Bacterial small subunit ribosomal RNA
Source: RNAcentral